RNAcentral lists this ribosomal RNA (253 nucleotides) under uncultured bacterium. RNAcentral's name for it is "partial 16S ribosomal RNA". It matches the Rfam family "Bacterial small subunit ribosomal RNA", at positions 524 to 776 of the family's 1533-position model. The record is from RNAcentral.
UACAGAGGGGGCAAGCGUUGUUCGGAAUUACUGGGCGUAAAGGGCGCGUAGGCGGCCUGCUAAGUCGAACGUGAAAUCCCCGGGCUCAACCCGGGAACUGCGUCCGAUACUGGCAGGCUUGAAUCCGGGAGAUGGAUGUGGAAUUCCAGGUGUAGCGGUGAAAUGCGUAGAUAUCUGGAGGAACACCGGUGGCGAAGGCGGCAUCCUGGACCGGUAUUGACGCUGAUGCGCGAAAGCCAGGGGAGCAAACGGG